CCGAGGCGGCGGCCCGGCCCUGCUGGUAGCGCUGCACGAUGGCCUCCAGCAGCCGGUUGCGUUGGAAGCCUCGCAGGCCGCGGUGGUCGAGCGAGGCGCUGCGAUGGCAUUGCGGGCAGUGGCCGCCUCCACUUCCUCCUCCUCCACCACCACCUCCUCCUGCUGUUCUUGCCGCUGGAAAGAUGUCGGAGUGGAAUCAGAUUUCAGCACCACGGCAGGGGUGGACAGCUCCUUGCUGCGUUGACGCUGCUGAGUUCAGCACCACGGCGGGGACCGAGAGCUUUUCCAGCUGUGUUGCUCUCGCUCGGUUCAGCACCGGCAAGGAGAUGGACAGCGCCUGUCGGCUGAGUUCAGCAGCACUGCUGUGGUGGUCCGACUCCUCUUGGUGUGCAGCUGCUGAAUUCUGCACUUACAGUGGGGUUGGACGGCAAUUGGAGGAGGGGAGGGGGUGCUUUUCCAGGCUCUGCAGUUGCUGCCGCAGCGGGACUGACCUUGCCUAGUAGCAGCCAAAGGGAUGGAAGACGGCUAUUGUUUAUUGCAAAGGAAUUUCCUUGCCCAUGAUCCGUGCAGUUAGUGCAGUAGUCCGUUUGCUUGGAUUUCUGUUGCAUAGAGUACAGGAGAGAGGGGAGGAAAAAGAACCGUAAAAGGGGGCGGGAAUAGUCUUUUCAGCAAAUAGGUGAUCACUUGCUAUGUGACUGAGAGCAGAGAAAGGGUUUUAUUUAAAGGGAGAUGUCUUCAUACAUUUUAAAUCCAUUAUUUAUAGACAGGAUUGAACAUGGUGGGGGUUUUCUUUAUCUCUAAUAGCUUUCUUCCCCCCAGAGGAGAGAAGGGAGUGUUCAAAAUGAGAACACUUGAAAGAAGAGAACAAGCCCCAAAUAUGUUUUUCUUUCCACAUUCCUUAUGAAGCUGGAGCACAAAUUCGAACCACAAAAUGUCAGACACUGUUAGCUAGAAGAAUAAAAGAGGGGAUUGUUAUUCUUCCUGUUAUGGACAGUACACACGGUGAAUCGUGACUGUACACAAGAGAAAGAAGAUGAGAGUAGAGUGCACCACAUCACCAGGAAACAAAUCCAAAUUUGCUUCAAAAAUAAAUCAGAGUUGACAGCUGAGUGUUUUGUGAGUUGGAAGUAACCAUCAUUACAAGAAAGCACUAGCAGUGGGAAAUCCCCAUCUGUUUUCCCUUUGCUCUACAUAUGUUUAGAAUGGAUGGAAGGAUGGACUGUUAAAAGAUAACAGAGAUUAUAAAGAGCCAUUAUUUUCUGACUUUGUACAGAUCACAGUGGUUUUGAAACCCAGGCAUUAAUGGUGUAGAAAAUAGGUUGUUCCAGAACCUUAUUAAUAAUAAAAUCAGCAUUCUCCUUUGA
Molecule: long non-coding RNA, 1364 nt
Organism: Hemicordylus capensis (graceful crag lizard)
Lineage: Eukaryota; Metazoa; Chordata; Lepidosauria; Squamata; Cordylidae
Exons: 2
Source: RefSeq, a predicted model, not a curated record